UACGGAGGGUGCAAGCGUUAUCCGGAUUCACUGGGUUUAAAGAGUGCGUAGGCGGGCAUUUAAGUCAGUGGUGAAAUACCUGAGCUUAACUUGGGAACUGCCAUUGAUACUAUUUGUCUUGAAUGUCGUGGAGGUUAGCGGAAUAUGUCAUGUAGCGGUGAAAUGCUUAGAUAUGACAUAGAACACCUAUUGCGAAGGCAGCUAACUACGCGAAUAUUGACGCUGAGGCACGAAAGCGUGGGGAUCAAACAGG
Molecule: ribosomal RNA, 253 nt
Filed under: uncultured bacterium
Lineage: Bacteria
Description: partial 16S ribosomal RNA
Rfam family: Bacterial small subunit ribosomal RNA
Source: RNAcentral